AGGAUGAACGCUGGCGGCGUGCUUAACACAUGCAAGUCGAACGGUGAAGCCCAGCUUGCUGGGUGGAUCAGUGGCGAACGGGUGAGUAACACGUGAGCAACCUGCCCCUGACUCUGGGAUAAGCGCUGGAAACGGUGUCUAAUACUGGAUACGAACAGUGACCGCAUGGUCAGUUGUUGGAAAGAUUUAUUGGUUGGGGAUGGGCUCGCGGCCUAUCAGCUUGUUGGUGAGGUAAUGGCUCACCAAGGCGUCGACGGGUAGCCGGCCUGAGAGGGUGACCGGCCACACUGGGACUGAGACACGGCCCAGACUCCGUACGGGAGGCAGCAGUGGGGAAUAUUGCACAAUGGGCGCAAGGCCUGAUGCAGCAACGCCGCGGUGAGGAUGGACGGCCGUUCGGUUAGUUAAACCUCGUUUUAGACGAAGGAGUAAGCGAAGAGUAGACGGUACUAGACGAAGAAAA
RNAcentral lists this ribosomal RNA (463 nucleotides) under uncultured soil bacterium. Its description in RNAcentral is "bacterial SSU rRNA". It matches the Rfam family "Bacterial small subunit ribosomal RNA", at positions 26 to 494 of the family's 1533-position model. The record is from RNAcentral.